RNAcentral lists this ribosomal RNA (439 nucleotides) under uncultured bacterium. RNAcentral describes it as "partial 16S ribosomal RNA". It matches the Rfam family "Bacterial small subunit ribosomal RNA", at positions 339 to 795 of the family's 1533-position model. The record is from RNAcentral.
CUACGGGGGGCUCCAGUGGGGAAUAUUGCACAAUGGGGGAAACCCUGAUGCAGCAACGCCGCGUGGAGGAUGACGCAUUUCGGUGUGUAAACUCCUUUUAUAUGUCAAGAAAAUGACGGUAGCAUAUGAAUAAGCACCGGCUAACUCCGUGCCAGCAGCCGCGGUAAUACGGAGGGUGCAAGCGUUACUCGGAAUCACUGGGCGUAAAGGACGCGUAGGCGGGUUGGAAAGUCAGGUGUGAAAUCCUACAGCUUAACUGUAGAACUGCACUUGAAACUUCUAAUCUAGAGUAUGGGAGGGGGAGAUGGAAUUAGUGGUGUAGGGGUAAAAUCCGUAGAUAUCACUAGGAAUACCUAAAGCGAAGGCGAUCUCCUGGAACAUUACUGACGCUAAGGCGUGAAAGCGUGGGGAGCAAACAGGAUUAGAUACCCCCGUAGUC